This 399-nucleotide ribosomal RNA is filed under the name uncultured bacterium. Its description in RNAcentral is "bacterial SSU rRNA". It matches the Rfam family "Bacterial small subunit ribosomal RNA", at positions 356 to 773 of the family's 1533-position model. The record is from RNAcentral.
GGGGAAUAUUGCACAAUGGAGGAAACUCUGAUGCAGCGACGCCGCGUGAGCGAAGAAGGCCUUCGGGUCGUAAAGCUCUGUCCUAUGGGACGAUAAUGACGGUACCAUAGGAGGAAGCCCCGGCUAACUACGUGCCAGCAGCCGCGGUAAUACGUAGGGGGCGAGCGUUGUCCGGAAUGACUGGGCGUAAAGGGUACGUAGGCGGCUAGAUAAGUCAGAUGUGAAAGGCAUGGGCUCAACCUGUGUUAGCAUUUGAAACUGUUUAGCUUGAGUUAAGGAGAGGAAAGUGGAAUUCCUGGUGUAGCGGUGAAAUGCGUAGAUACCAGGAGGAAUACCAGUGGCGAAGGCGACUUUCUGGACUUAUACUGACGCUGAGGUACGAAAGCGUGGGGAGCGAAC